RNAcentral lists this ribosomal RNA (253 nucleotides) under uncultured bacterium. RNAcentral describes it as "partial 16S ribosomal RNA". It matches the Rfam family "Bacterial small subunit ribosomal RNA", at positions 524 to 776 of the family's 1533-position model. The record is from RNAcentral.
UACAGAGGUGGCAAGCGUUGUUCGGAAUUACUGGGCGUAAAGGGCGCGUAGGCGGCCAUCUAAGUCAGACGUGAAAUCCCUCGGCUCAACCGGGGAACUGCGUCUGAUACUGGGUGGCUUGAAUCCGGGAGAGGGAUGCGGAAUUCCAGGUGUAGCGGUGAAAUGCGUAGAUAUCUGGAGGAACACCGGUGGCGAAGGCGGCAUCCUGGACCGGCAUUGACGCUGAGGCGCGAAAGCCAGGGGAGCAAACGGG